AAUAGAUACCCAGGUAGUCCACGCCGUAAACGAUGGAUGCUAGCUAUUGGAGGGAAUCGACCCCCUCCGAAGCGAAGCUAACGCGUUAAGCAUCCCGCCUGAGUAGUACGAGCGCAAGCUUAAAACUCAAAGGAAUUGACGGGGACCCGCACAAGCGGUGGAGCGUGUGGUUUAAUUCGAUGGUAAACGAAGAACCUUACCAAGGUUUGACAUCCCGGUAGCCGUUCUCCGAAAGGAGAAUUUCAUUUAGUUGGACCGGUGACAGGUGAUGCAUGGCCGUCGUCAACUCGUGUCGUGAGAUGUUGGGUUAAGUCCCGCAACGAGCGCAACCCUUAUGAUUUAGUUGGAUUUUUCUAAACAGACUGCCCUGGUAACAGGGAGGAAGGAGGGGAUGAUGUCAGGUCAGUAUUUCCCUUACACCUUGGGCGACACACGCGCUACAAUGGCCGGUACAAUGGGCAGCUAAGCCGCGAGGUGGAGCAAAUCCCAUCAAAGCCGGUCCCAGUUCGGAUUGCAGGCUGAAACCCGCCUGCAUGAAGCCGGAAUCGCUAGUAACC
This 557-nucleotide ribosomal RNA is filed under the name uncultured bacterium. RNAcentral describes it as "bacterial SSU rRNA". It matches the Rfam family "Bacterial small subunit ribosomal RNA", at positions 777 to 1343 of the family's 1533-position model. The record is from RNAcentral.